UGAAAACACAGUUAGAAAAUUUUAUCGAAAAUGCAGUGUAAAAAAAUUAAAAUUUUUAAAAAUAAAUUUUGUUAAUUGUUUCAAGAUCUAAACUCUAUUUAUUCCUAACGGAACAUUCUAGCCUUAAAGGAGAUGCAAACAUAAAAAAUUCUCAUACAUAGGGGUAUGCACCCCUCAGGAAAGCCCCAAAAAAAUAACAUAGGAACAAAUGCCCACAGAAAACUAGAAAAAUAAAUGGAAAAUGCUAAAAAGAAAAAGUAUUUGAUAACUAUUUGAAUUCCAUAACACUUCCUCAAAUCCAUAUAAUCAUGAUUGAAAUGAAUACGCAUCAGUUGCGCAGCUACAGUCCGAAGUCCAAAUAACUUUUCCACACGACUUUCGAGAACAAGAAAUACCAAUUUUGUGUCAAGACAAAGGAAUCGUCAGUACACAAAGUAACGGAAUAUUGGAAACGAUGAAUCACGGAUUAACGAUGAAAUACACGCACAAAUCAAUCAAAUCACGAAACACCUCUAACCCACCCCAACCCAAUCACCAGUCACCAUACAAGCCGCACAUGUUCCACUAUUAAUUCGCGUGCCACGUGACGCUGCAUGUUUUCUGUUCGUGCGGUUCACGUGCGCACGGCGAAUUUGCCAUCACUAAUCGUUCGUAAAGAGAAGUUACUCGGCCAAUGCGAUUUCAAGCUUACGGUACCGCGACCGCAUCAACUCUACACUCCCCCUCCCCCUCCAUGUUCACUCACACAAUGAACACAUAACACAACACCACGACCACCAUACUUCUAUACACACACACACACACACACACACACACACACACACACACACACACACCUACACGCACACGAAUGUAGACUUUACCAAGGGUGUACACUGUCGUAGCAUACCAUAAAAUCGUCAAAUGAUUGUUAAACAAAACAAAUGUUCCCGUCCAAUAAGAAUACCUUAACUCAAACCUCUCUUCGUUUCUUCAAGCAAGCAGGCAUAAGCAAUUUCGUACAUCCCGAGGUCGGCGCGUAGGAUUUGCGUACUUGAAAGCGACAUUGGCCCAUCCGGUUUGCUGCACUUGUCAAUCGUUUGAACUAUAUGCUUAACUUUCAAAAUAUAUAUAUACAACACGACUUGUAUUCAAAGUA
Molecule: long non-coding RNA, 1138 nt
Organism: Drosophila hydei
Lineage: Eukaryota; Metazoa; Arthropoda; Insecta; Diptera; Drosophilidae
Exons: 3
Source: RefSeq, a predicted model, not a curated record